CGGAGGGUGCAAGCGUUAUCCGGAUUCACUGGGUUUAAAGGGAGCGCAGGCGGAUUUGUUAAGUCAGUGGUGAAAGGACUUAAGUCUUAACUUGGGAACUGCCAUUGAUACUAUAAGUCUUGAAUGUUGUUGAGGUUUGCGGAAUGGGUCAUGUAGCGGUGAAAUAGCAUAGAUAUGACCCGGAACACCUAUUGCGAAGGCAGCAGGCUAAACAAAUAUUGACGCUGAGGCUCGAAAGCGUGGGGAUCAAACAGGAUU
RNAcentral lists this ribosomal RNA (258 nucleotides) under uncultured bacterium. RNAcentral's name for it is "partial 16S ribosomal RNA". It matches the Rfam family "Bacterial small subunit ribosomal RNA", at positions 526 to 779 of the family's 1533-position model. The record is from RNAcentral.